CCACACUGCAGACUGGAAACUCUCAGGACGGACCAUUGUGGACUGCAGAGACUGAGACCUGGUCUGAGGAAGUAUGUCUGUGAACUGGAACUGGACACAAACACAGUAAACAGAAGACUCAAACUGUCUGACAAUAACAGGAAGGUGACAAAUGUGGGAGAGGAUCAGUUAUAUCCUGAUCAUCCAGACAGAUUUGACUCCUGGCCUCAGCUGCUGUGUAGAAAUGGUCUGACUGGUCGCUGUUACUGGGAGGUCAAGAGGAGAGGAGACGUUCAUAUAUCAGUGAGUUACAGAGGAAUUAGAAGGAGAGGAGACAGUGAUGACUGUGGGUUUGGAUGGAAUGAUCAGUCCUGGAGUCUGAGCUGCUCUGAUGAUGGUCGUUAUUCUGUUAGGCACAAUAACAGAGUAACAGUCCUCACUUCCUCCUCUGUCUCUAACAGAGUAGCAGUGUAUGUGGACUGUCCUGCUGGCACUCUGUCAUUCUACACAGUCUCCUCUGACUCACUUAUCCACCUCCACACCUUCAACACCACAUUAAAUCAACCUCUUUAUCCUGGGUUUAUGCUCUGGUCUGGUUCCUCAGUGUCUCUGUGUCCUCUGCAGGACUGAGAGUCGCUCCUGUGGACAGAAACGCUGACUGAAGAUCAGCUGCUGAAAUCAAAGUUCAGUCUGUUCACCAUCACACAUUACAGACCAAACAUGAAUAAUUUGUGUGAAUAAAUCACUUGUCAAUUUAAACAUUCAAGCCCAUCUGUCUCUAUGCUCCUUUUCACACCAAUCCGAAACUUUCACUUGUUUAGUCUUACACAACUGUUUAGGUUUCUGCAGAUUUCUGAUGCCGAUUAAAAACAAGCCAACCGAUAAAAUGACUUUUGUUUAAUGCAAUCAAUAGAUUCUCUCAGACGUCAAUCUCUGUUCAUACUGUCACACAACAAUGUGGGUAUCGAUUCAUUAGAUCUCGCAGCAUAGUGUCCUUUUUGACAAACAAAAUAAAAAUUAUAAAGACAACAUCUGGGGAAGUACAGCAGUUAAACUGUCUGUCUGCACUUUAUGAAUUACUUUUUACUUGUACCUCACUUUGUUUUGUGUUGCUUAGUUUUUAAUAUGUAUUAUCUUGUAUGUUUUUAUGUAAAGCACAUUAUGAUUCUAUCUGUGAAAAGUGUUCUUUAAAUAAAGCUGUGCUGAAUUAAUCAGAAAGCAGCAACGAUUCAUA
Molecule: long non-coding RNA, 1213 nt
Organism: Sander lucioperca (pikeperch)
Lineage: Eukaryota; Metazoa; Chordata; Actinopteri; Perciformes; Percidae
Exons: 3
Source: RefSeq, a predicted model, not a curated record